GGGGGGGUUAUUAGUGUGCACGUGUGUGUGUGUGUGUGUGUGUGUGAAACUGUUAAGAGUGUGUGUAAGUGUGUGUUUACAGUGUGUGUUUACAGUGUGUGUUUUGGGGUGUGGUGCAUGCCCCCCCCCCAGUUUAAUCAGAUGCAUGAAUGUGUAAAAAUGCCAUUUAGCACGACACACCGAUGACUGCAGGCCUGUUAGUGGGUCUGACAGACGGACGGACGGACGGACGGGUUUGAGUGACAGCCCCGGCGCUGGUCCGUCUGUGUGUGACAGACAAAUACUAACACACACAAAUACUAACACACACACACACACACACACAUACUAACACACACACAAAUACUAACACACACACACACGGCGAUUGUUAACGCUCAGUAUAUUUGCUAAUGGGAGCUGUCUGAGGGGUGAGGCGGCGUUAACCUCUGAUCCACCGCGGGUCAACCACUUAUGAGCGAGAUAGAAUUCAUUAGGUUAGACCCACUUCAUCAUCAACAUCUGACUGAGCGAUUUCACAGCCAUGACACUGACAGACACACCGAGGAGGCGUGAAGGAGGCGCCGCCAGAACUCCGAGGAUCCUGACCGUAGACUGGAUCUUCAGAUGUGGACCCUAACAGGCCCCGCCCCCCUCUGAGGGUCAGUUAGUCGGUCCAGAAUCUCAUAAACUGAAUUACCGUUAUAACAGGAACAGCUGAGAGGGACCUGUGGUUUUCAUUUAGAGUGAAUCUGUCUCAUAAACUUUGAUUAUAUAUAAUUUUAUUUUUCUCUCUUUAUAGAAUGAAUCUUAUUAUUAUAAUCUGUGUUUUUUUUUAUUUUGGCCCCUCCCAUUUUAGACGAGACUGAAGGGCAAAACAAAUACAGUCUGAGUCAGAGGAUCACAGUCUAACCCCCGACCUCCACCUUCAUCCUGAUCGUCUCCUAAAAGGUCGUAUCCUCCGAUCGUAGCUGAUCGUAACCAUUCAAGUUAACGUGUCGAUUUACACCGACUUCUUUCAAAACGGGCGGAGACGAACAAGUGAAAGGUUUUUAGACGUCAUUUCACCCCGAUGACACCAUGGAUGAGGAGAUGCUGAUUCUAGAAGUCUAGAAGUAGAUUUCCUCCUCUGGAAGGACACAAUCUACUGCUUAUAUGUCUAUGUGUCUGUCUUUAUAGAGACGACUCGUUGUCGUGUGAUUGAACGUGAAUCUGCUGUUCCGGAUGCGGUGAAAAUUCGGCGUUAGUCUUCAGACAGUAUUGGUUCAGUGGUCGUCCUUCCUGGUGGAGAUGUCUGAGGUCAGUUACAGUCCGAUCAGCUGAGCAGACACGUCCUAACGAGGAUUUCUGACCCCUGAGGUGUUUCACCUGCAGAUCUUCGUUUGUCCUCUGAUAUUAUUUUAAAUGUUCUGUAAUAUUUUCAGAUCAGAGUCUCUGCGGCUGCUCCUCCCUCUGCUCCUCUCUCUGCUCCUCUCUCUGCUCCUCUCUCUGCUCCUCCCUCUGCUCCUCUCUCUGCUCCUCCCUCUGCUCCUCUCUCUGCUCCUCUCUCUGCUCCUCUCUCUGCUCCUCCCUCAGUCGUGCUUCAGUCUUCUGCUCAUUGGGCCUCUCUGAUCAUGUGAUCAGUGAGUGGAGGAAGUUUUCCUGAGGUUGGCUCCAGCAACACCUGAGAGUCUGAGGAGCUAAACAGUCACCCAGCCGGUCUGACUGGAUCUCAGACGGUUUAACUGAGUUUCCCUCCCACCACAGAAAACAGCCGACCGGGCGGCAAUUAAGAUGUUAACAGAUAUCUUCAUAAGGACGACAGAGCCGGGGGGUGGGGGGAGGAAGAGACCCUAACCGCAACAGAUUUCUCCCACUUCUAAUUAAUAGCGACGGCAAUUAAAGUGUAACUCAGCCCUCCUCCCCCCCCUCACCUCCCUGUCCUCUCUGCCAACAGCUCUGCAGGGUCGUGACGCAUCCUCUUCUGAUGUUCGCCCUCCUGUUGACGGCACUUCUGAUAAAACCGGCGUGUCGAAGGAGUGGGCAUGGACCGAAGUUCGCCGUCGUCUCCUCAGGGCUAAUCCUCGGCUGAAGGUGUCGUCAUCAUCAUCAUCAUCAUCAUCAUCAGAUCUUGGCAUUUAUAAGACUUAUGCAUCAUGUAGUUGUGUGUGUGUUUGUGUUUGUGUGUGUUUGUGUGUGACGACAGGGCCAGGUGAAUGAUAGUCCCUCUAAUUAGCAGGGUUGUGGCUCCUGCUCCGUGUGGCUCCAGAGACCGGUGGUCGGGGAGCGGGAGGUUCGGGUCUCGGUGGGGAGGACUCAGAAAAACAGCUUUAAUUGGUGCCAGUUAUUUAUAGACAAAGCACCUCUUUCAAGGUUAGUGGGUUAAGUCUGCUCGCCGCUCUGCUGGGACCGCCAUGUUCAGGGGCGACAAACAGAGGCUGCCAAAAAAACCUGCCACACCUCUCCAUCUCUGUGUGUGAGCGCGCACGCACACACACACACACACACACAGGCGGAGUGAAGUGCAGCUCUCCUGCACUCAGACCUGCUGUUUACACUCUUGGGUUUGUGCAGAGCUGCAGGAAGAGUGUGAUAGGAGGAGAAUAAUGGACAGAGCGAGCGAGAAACAGAGAGAGAGAGAGAGAUAGUGAGGCGUGGAGGGAAAAGACAAGGUGUGGAGGUUGCUCCUGGGUUGAAUCCCUCAUUGGAGGCGUCUUCAUCUGCCGCCCAAUCCUCCCGGGGGCUCCUACUUCUCCAUUUCAUUAGUUUGUCAGUCUGCACCGAGGAUUGUGCAUUAGGCCUUUAAUUUAGUGGAUAGCCAGAGGCUGAGCAGCCCUCUCAGCUCCAACAG
RNAcentral lists this long non-coding RNA (2809 nucleotides) under Xyrichtys novacula (pearly razorfish). The record is from RNAcentral. Lineage: Eukaryota; Metazoa; Chordata; Actinopteri; Labriformes; Labridae.